AUUGAACGCUGGCGGAAUGCUUUACACAUGCAAGUCGAGCGGCAGCGCGGGGGCAACCCUGGCGGCGAGCGGCGAACGGGUGAGUAACAUAUCGGAACGUACCCAGUCGUGGGGGAUAACUAUCCGAAAGGAUAGCUAAUACCGCAUACGUCCUGAGGGAGAAAGCGGGGGAUCGCAAGACCUCGCGCGAUUGGAGCGGCCGAUAUCGGAUUAGCUAGUUGGUGGGGUAAAGGCUCACCAAGGCGACGAUCCGUAGCGGGUCUGAGAGGACGACCCGCCACACUGGAACUGAGACACGGUCCAGACUCCUACGGGAGGCAGCAGUGGGGAAUUUUGGACAAUGGGGGCGAACCCUGAUCCAGCCAUUCCGCGUGAGUGAAGAAGGCCUCGUUGU
This 394-nucleotide ribosomal RNA is filed under the name uncultured bacterium. RNAcentral's name for it is "bacterial SSU rRNA". It matches the Rfam family "Bacterial small subunit ribosomal RNA", at positions 29 to 423 of the family's 1533-position model. The record is from RNAcentral.